GCACCCCUAGUUCACAGGGCGGAGCGCCACGAUUCGAACGUGGGCGGCGAGGGUUCGAGUCCUUCGGGGUGCACCA
This 76-nucleotide transfer RNA is filed under the name Rhizobium sp. RNAcentral's name for it is "tRNA-Arg". It matches the Rfam family "tRNA". From Rfam's summary of the family: Transfer RNA (tRNA) molecules are approximately 80 nucleotides in length. Their secondary structure includes four short double-helical elements and three loops (D, anti-codon, and T loops). Further hydrogen bonds mediate the characteristic L-shaped molecular structure. tRNAs have two regions of fundamental functional importance: the anti-codon, which is responsible for specific mRNA codon recognition, and the 3' end, to which the tRNAs corresponding amino acid is attached (by aminoacyl-tRNA synthetases). tRNAs cope with the degeneracy of the genetic code in two manners: having more than one tRNA (with a specific anti-codon) for a particular amino acid; and 'wobble' base-pairing, i.e. permitting non-standard base-pairing at the 3rd anti-codon position. The record is from RNAcentral. Lineage: Bacteria; Pseudomonadati; Pseudomonadota; Alphaproteobacteria; Hyphomicrobiales; Rhizobiaceae.